UCACUCUAUUGAAUAUUGAUCAUACCCAACUUUCCAAUUACACAUUUACACUCAUAAAAGUAACCCAGUUUCCCGAUCUCUCUCUCUAGUCUCUAGCUCAUCUCUAUUCAUACCCAACUUUCCAAUCUCUCUCCAAAUCUCAUCUUAUUUUACCACCAACAAAUCUUAUCUUAUUCAUACUCAAUUUAUAACAUCUUUAUUUCGGUAUAUUUUCCUCUUUUUUAUAUUGAUUCUCCUCCUCAUCUCUCUAUAUUUUGGGGUUUGUGAAAGGUGAUUUCGGGGAGUUUUAUAAUUGAUGGUGGUGAUCGACGAAGUUGGAAAGACCAUUGGUGGUUUAUGUGUUAGUUGACGGCGGCGAUGGAGGUGGUAUCAUAAAAGUUGUUCUUUUCCUGGUAUAUAUCUUUUGAAGAUGACAGGUUGUAGAUAACGGGUGGGAGACUCUGCAUAGAAUGAUCAGGAGUAGAGGAAGAAGGGAGAAGAGGAAGAAGGGUGAAGGAAACUGCCGAAAUUGUAACUUCUAAUGGAGUGGGUUAGUUUUUUUUAGGAAGGAGGGGGUGGAAACUGCCGUUUUUAUUUUUUUUUAAUGAUUUUAUUUUGUUUUGUUUUUUUUAAUUAAUUUGUUGUAAUUUUAAUUUAGGAAGGGUAAAAUGGGGCUUUCAUUAUUUUGGUGUCCCCCCUCUCUUCCCAUAUAGAAUAGAGAUGCAAACUGUGUUUAAAAGUAAAGUGGUCUAUAAUAAUUUUAUUAUGCA
Molecule: long non-coding RNA, 749 nt
Organism: Beta vulgaris subsp. vulgaris (sugar beet)
Lineage: Eukaryota; Viridiplantae; Streptophyta; Magnoliopsida; Caryophyllales; Amaranthaceae
Exons: 2
Source: RefSeq, a predicted model, not a curated record